UAGAGUUUGAUCCUGGCUCAAGGACGAACGCUGGCGGCGUGCGUAAUACAUGCAAGUCGAGCGGACAGAUGGGAGCUUGCUCCGUGAUGUUAGCGGCGGACGGGUGAGUAACAGGUGGGUAACCUGCCUGUAAGACUGGGAUAACUCCGGGAAACCGGGGGUAAUACCGGAUGCUUGUUUGAACCGCAUGGUUCAAACAUAAAAGGUGGCUUCGGGCUACCACUUACAGAUGGACCCGCGGCGCAUUAGCUAGUUGGUGAGGUAACGGCUCACCAAGGCAACGAUGCGUAGCCGACCUGAGAGGGUGAUCGGCCACACUGGGACUGAGACACGGCCCAGACUCCUACGGGAGGCAGCAGUAGGGAAUCUUCCGCAAUGGACGAAAGUCUGACGGAGCAACGCCGCGUGAGUGAUGAAGGUUUUCGGAUCGUAAAGCUCUGUUGUUAGGGAAGAACAAGUACCGUUCGAAUAGGGCGGUACCUUGACGGUACCUAACCAGAAAGCCACGGCUAACUACGUGCCAGCAGCCGCGGUAAUACGUAGGUGGCAAGCGUUGUCCGGAAUUAUUGGGCGUAAAGGGCUCGCAGGCGGUUCCUUAAGUCUGAUGUGAAAGCCCCCGGCUCAACCGGGGAGGGUCAUUGGAAACUGGGGAACUUGAGUGCAGAAGAGGAGAGUGGAAUUCCACGUGUAGCGGUGAAAUGCGUAGAGAUGGGAGGAACACCAGUGGCGAAGGCGACUCCCGGUCUGUAACGACGCGAGAGCGAAAGCUGAGCAACU
This 777-nucleotide ribosomal RNA is filed under the name Bacillus mojavensis. RNAcentral describes it as "bacterial SSU rRNA". It matches the Rfam family "Bacterial small subunit ribosomal RNA", at positions 1 to 769 of the family's 1533-position model. Lineage: Bacteria; Bacillati; Bacillota; Bacilli; Caryophanales; Bacillaceae. The record is from RNAcentral.